This 253-nucleotide ribosomal RNA is filed under the name uncultured bacterium. Its description in RNAcentral is "partial 16S ribosomal RNA". It matches the Rfam family "Bacterial small subunit ribosomal RNA", at positions 524 to 776 of the family's 1533-position model. The record is from RNAcentral. RNAcentral also lists the same sequence under 1 other name.
UACGAAGGGGGCUAGCGUUGUUCGGAAUUACUGGGCGUAAAGCGCAUGUAGGCGGACAUUUAAGUCAGGGGUGAAAUCCCGGGGCUCAACCUCGGAACUGCCUUUGAUACUGGGUGUCUAGAGUGUGGAAGAGGUAAGUGGAAUUCCGAGUGUAGAGGUGAAAUUCGUAGAUAUUCGGAGGAACACCAGUGGCGAAGGCGGCUUACUGGUCCAUUACUGACGCUGAGGUGCGAAAGCGUGGGGAGCAAACAGG